This 492-nucleotide ribosomal RNA is filed under the name uncultured bacterium. Its description in RNAcentral is "partial 16S ribosomal RNA". It matches the Rfam family "Bacterial small subunit ribosomal RNA", at positions 29 to 507 of the family's 1533-position model. The record is from RNAcentral.
AGUGAACGCUGGCGGUAGGCCUAACACAUGCAAGUCGAACGGCAGCACAGUAAGAGCUUGCUCUUACGGGUGGCGAGUGGCGGACGGGUGAGGAAUACAUCGGAAUCUACUUUUUCGUGGGGGAUAACGUCGGGAAACUUACGCUAAUACCGCAUACGACCUACGGGUGAAAGCAGGGGAUCUUCGGACCUUGCGCGAUUGAAUGAGCCGAUGUCGGAUUAGCUAGUUGGCGGGGUAAAGGCCCACCAAGGCGACGAUCCGUAGCUGGUCUGAAAGGAUGAUCAGCCACACUGGAACUGAGACACGGUCCAGACUCCUACGGGAGGAAGCAGUGGGGAAUAUUGGGCAAGGGGCGCAAGCCUGAUCCAGCCAUACCGCGUGGGUGAAGAAGGCCUUCGGGUUGUAAAGCCCUUUUGUUGGGAAAGAAAAGCAGCAGGUUAAUACCCCGCUGUUCUGACGGUACCCAAAGAAUAAGCACCGGCUAACUUCGUG